AAAUGUGAACAGUGUGGGAAAACAUUUUCUACCCUUUCAUACCUCUCUUGGCACAAGUUGCGUCAUUCUGGGGAGAAACUGUACAAAUGUGAAUAAUGUGGGAAAAUGUUUUACUCUACUUUAGACCUUAAAAAACACCAAAAGAUUCAUGCCUAUAAAUGUGGGGAAUGCCACUCUGGCUUUCCUAAUUACUCAGCCCUGACUGCACAUCAGAGAGUCCAUACUGGAGAGAUAGCUCACAUAUGUAAACAAUGUGGGAAAACCUUUUCUAGACUUGAUAGCCUCAAUCAGCACCAGAUUGUUCAUACUGGAGAGAAACCCUAUAAAUGUGGAAAAUGUGGCAAAUGUUUUUUCCGAUCUUGAUCCCUUAAAAGACAUCAAGGAAUUCAUUUUUUUCUUUUUUUGGUUCUUUUUUUCGGGGCUGGGGACCGAACCCAGGGCCUUGCGCUUCCUAGGUAAGCGCUCUACCACUGAGCUAAAUCCCCAGCCCCAAGGAAUUCAUUCUUAAUAGAAAUUUUAUAAGUACUAUGUGAUAAAAAUCUUGCUAAAUAUUCAGACCUUACCCAAGACAAAUGAAUCCAUUAAGUAGAGAAGCCAUGUGCAUGUGAAGAAUGCUUAGUGCUUUAACAUGAUGUCAACACGUUCUACCAUCAGUAAUGUUCAUUCUGCAGAGAAACUUGCCCAACUGUGAAGGGAGUGACAGGCUUUUAGUGUUGCUUCAUAUCUUAAAUCACAAUGAUCUUUAUCCUGAACAUCAGUGCUAUCAGGUGAAGGGUGUGGUGAAGGCAUUAGUUAUCAUUCAGUCCUAGUUAAACCUCAAUAAUUCAUUUCUGAGAGAAACCCUACUUAUAUGCAGAAAAGGACCAAGGCUUAGAUAUUCUUUAUGUCUACAUAAGCAUGAAUGCCCAGCAAUAUCUGAAUGUGUGCUUUCCUGGAUGAGAGUACCUUUUGCAAAUGUCCUGGGGCAUUUUCUUGACUGUUAACUAAUGUUGUAGUGUCCAGUCAGGACAAGCAGCACCACCCUGGGGAAGUGUUCUUGGGUUACAUAAGGAUUUUAGGUGAGCAGGAGAGUAAGUAACAUGUCAGGAAACAUGGUUUCUACUUCACUUGCUGCCCUUGCUUCCCUGGAAGAGAAACAGUGACUGUGAUGGUUUGCAUAUGCUUGGCCCAGGGAGUGGCACUAUUAGAAGGUGUGGCCUUGUUGAAAGAAGUGUGUCACUGUGUGGGUGGGCUUGGAGACCCUUCUCCUAGCUGCCUGAGGAUACUCAGUAUGUUCCUGACUUCCUUCAGGUGAAGAUGUAGAACUUAGCUCCUCCUGCACCAUGCCCACCUGGGUGCUGCCAUGCUCCCACCUUGAUGAUAAUGGACUGAACCUCUGAACCUGUAAGCCAGCCCCAAUUAAAUAUUGUUCUUUAUAAAAUUUGCAUUGAUCAUGGUGUCUGUUUAUAGAAAUAAAACCCUAAGACAGUGACCUUUAUGUUGAAAUAAAAUAUUUGCUCUGC
This 1502-nucleotide long non-coding RNA is filed under the name Rattus norvegicus (Norway rat). RNAcentral's name for it is "long non-coding RNA NONRATT002078". Lineage: Eukaryota; Metazoa; Chordata; Mammalia; Rodentia; Muridae. The record is from RNAcentral.